This 254-nucleotide ribosomal RNA is filed under the name uncultured bacterium. RNAcentral describes it as "partial 16S ribosomal RNA". It matches the Rfam family "Bacterial small subunit ribosomal RNA", at positions 524 to 776 of the family's 1533-position model. The record is from RNAcentral.
UACGGGGGGAGCAAGCGUUGUUCGGAUUUACUGGGCGUAAAGGGCGCGUAGGCGGCCACUGCAAGUCAGUUGUGAAAUCUCCGGGCUUAACCCGGAAAGGUCAACUGAUACUGCAGGGCUAGAGUGCAGAAGGGGCAACUGGAAUUCUCGGUGUAGCGGUGAAAUGCGUAGAUAUCGAGAGGAACACCUGCGGCGAAGGCGGGUUGCUGGGCUGACACUGACGCUGAGGCGCGAAAGCCAGGGGAGCGAACAGG